GUGCUACAAUGGUCGGUACAAAGGGUUGCCAAGCCGCGAGGUGGAGCUAAUCCCAUAAAACCGAUCGUAGUCCGGAUCGCAGUCUGCAACUCGACUGCGUGAAGUCGGAAUCGCUAGU
This 118-nucleotide ribosomal RNA is filed under the name Pantoea sp. B9002. RNAcentral's name for it is "partial 16S ribosomal RNA". It matches the Rfam family "Bacterial small subunit ribosomal RNA", at positions 1222 to 1339 of the family's 1533-position model. The record is from RNAcentral. Lineage: Bacteria; Pseudomonadati; Pseudomonadota; Gammaproteobacteria; Enterobacterales; Erwiniaceae.